CAUCUUCAUGAAGGAAACCAUGAAUGGUUUUUUCCUCCACUACUGAGUAGCACAAAGAAGAAAGAAACACAUUAAGUACCUCCCUUUUGUUUCACAUGCAUCUAAGUAAAAUUCCACAGUAUUUCUACAAAGCAUUCCAACAAGUAAAAACUCAUUAUUAAUUUAUGGGCAAUUUUUAUUCUGUUUAACUCAAGAAAAAGCCAGAGGAAGGAAAUUUUUCAGAAAUUCUCUCUGGGAGUUCCUGUAAUGCCUCAGCGGUUAAUGAAUCUGACUAGCAUCCAUGAGGAUGCAGGUUUGAUCCCUGGCCUUGCUCAGUGGGUUAAGGAUCUAGCAUUGCCAUGAGCUAUGGUGUAGGUCACAGACAUGGCUAAGAUCCUGCUUUGCUCUGGCUUUGGUGUAGACCAGCAGCUACAGCUCUGAUUUGACCCUAGCCUGGGAAAUUGCAUGCCACAGGUGUGGCCCUAAAAAAAAAGAAAAAAAAAUCCUGUCUGAAUAAUUUCUCUUCAAAGUAUAGAUUGAAAAUUUCUAUUUUGAAUUGAUCAGUAAAAACCAAGACAACUUAACCCUUUUAACAAAGGUUUUGUUUCUGUGGUAUUUUAUCUUCUUGAAUCUUUAUGUGGGUUUUUUGAGCUUUUUUAUGACUUUGAACAUAGUUAUUUCUAUUUAUCAAUGUGAAUUUGGUUUUUUAAAUUUUAUUAAAGUAUAAUUGAUUUCCAAUGUUCCUUCAAUUUCUGCUGUACCGCAAAGUAACUCAGGCACAUAUAUAUAUUUUAUAUAUAUAUAAAAUUUUCCACACUAUCUUCUGUCAUGUUCUAACACAAGAGACUGUAUACAGUUCCUUGUGCUAUACAGGAUGACACCUUACCUAUCCGUUCUAAAUGCAAUAGUUAACCUCAAACUCCCCAUCCAUCCCCUUAUUGAGUGCAUAUUUCAGCCAUAAUUUUUCCCAAGAUUUUCAUGUGUGCUACCUCACUUCAUCUAAGAGGGCCCCCCAAGACAAGAUCAUUAUCAUUGUUUCAUGGAUGAAAAAACUGAGACCAGACAGCUCUCAAGUUCAUCUCACUGUCAAAUGAACUUCUACUACAAGCAUUCUGGAUGGACGGGGAAAGAGAGACCCAAUCAUGAGUACGAAAAUAUUGGCCUAGCACAUAGUGAUGCUAUGAAAAAAAUAUAGGCAUGUUUUAUUUUAUUUAAAUAAAUACCACUGUUAGGCACUGUUCUAUUUAACAUGGUGAGAUAAGUACUAUUAUUAUCUCCACUUUACAGAUGAGAGAACUGAGGCACAGAGAAAUGAUAACAUGUUCCAGUAAACUCAGUGAGUGAUAAAGUAGAAUUUCAGAUCCCAGCAGUCAGGCUUCAGUGUCCAUGCUCAUCAUCAUCAUGCUAAAAAUCAAGGUUAAGAGAGCAGAAACAAGUCUCUACAGAGCAUUAACAAGUAAUGCGAUGCUUCAUAAUGCUUUCUGCAGAUUUGAGGGUUUUGAUGUUUGCAUAUAGCUUAUCUCAUUGAGAAUAACAAUGCUCUAUGCACUUCUGCUCAGGUUUUUCAAAAGUAUGAUAAAGGAUGAGAAUCAAUGACUGGCAAGGGAAAUUAAAAUGAAUGUCCAUGGGCUCUCUUGCUUGGGAAGGAUAUUUUCGAAAAAUGUAUUAUUCAUUUGGGGGAUGACAACAUCUGAGUGAACACCAUCCAUCAAAUAUUAAAUUUGAAAUGCAAAGGGUAUCCAGGAUAUACACUAUCCAGAAGUAUUUUCCUGCAGAAAAAUGUUAAAUCAUCCAAAAUUCUAACCUGAAGAUACUACUUCUUUCACACUAAUAAAGAGUUGUUUAUUUUGAAAAAAGUAAAAUAAAUUCCAUCUCAUGUGAUACACUGUUAAAGGUGGCUCCAGAAAAUGUAUUUUAUGCAUUUGUUUUUAUUAUAGUUGAUUUACAACGUUCUGUCACUUUCUGCUGUACAGCAAAGUGACCCAGUCACACACACACACACACACACACGCAUAUUUUUUUUCUCACAUUAUCCUCCAUCAUGUUCCAUCACAAGUGACUAGAUAUAGAUCCCUGUGCUAUACAGAAGCACCUCAUUGCUUACUCACUCCAAAUGCAAUAGUUUGCAUCUACUAAUCCCAAGCUCCCAGUCCAUCCCAUUCCCUUCCCCUUCCCCUUGGCAACCACAAGUGUGUUCUCCAUGUCCAUGUGUUUGUUUCUUUUAUUUAGAAAGGUUCAUUUGUGCCAUAUAUUAGAUUCCAGAUACAAGUGAUCUCAUAUGGUAUUUGUCUUUAAAUUUAUUCUUUUCAUUUUUCUCCAUUUUUGUGGCUCCCUGCUUGUCCUUGGGAAUUUGUUUCUUUAACCACUUUAUCAGUCGGUGUCUGCCCCCUGUGGUAAACUGAGGAGUCAGCAGUCUUCUGUGUUUUUCAGUUCAGGUUACAGAAUGUGCUUGUUGAGAACCUUAGAAUUUCAGGAGCUUUUUAGGGUGUGGCAGGGCCAGGAGAGGAUUAGGGGAGGGGGACACAGCACUCAGAAUGUCCCAUGCUUCUGAGGGAGCUAGAAUAUUGCAGGGCCCCACUGUGGCAUAUUUCCUGGGCACCUGUGACCACAGCUGUGAAAACGCUGAUGCAGGAAAUAAUCACUGUGGGUUACAGAGCUUGUGACUUCCGUGGGAAACCUUAGGUGUUUAAUAUUUUACCUCAUUUACAAAUGGCUUUUAAAUUACCUAGUUAAAAUUCAGUUAUGCCAACAAAUAGAAUGCCUUUUUUGGUCCAUAAUGCUACUAUUCAGGCAGUGUCUUUAUUAAAAUUUGUUGAUACAACAUAUAUAUGUGUAUGUAUGUAUAUAUGUGUGUGUGUGUAGGUAUAUAUAUGUAUGUGUAUAUAUACAUAUAUGGAAUACAUUCAUAAGCAGUCUGGAGAGAAUAUGAGGUUAAAGGAGGUGGCGAAGCAAAAAUUGGAGUUCCCUUGGUAGCUCAGUGGAAACAAAUCUGACUAGUAUCCAUGAGGAUGCAGGUUCAAUCCCUGGCCUUGCUCAGUGGGUUAAGGAUCCAGCGUUGCUGUGAGCUGGGGUGUUGCUCAGACGUGGCUCAGAUCUGGCGUUGGCUGUGGUGUAGGCCUGUGGCUACAGCUCUGAUUUGACCCCUAGCCUGGGAACUUCCAUAUGCUGUGAGUGCAGCCCUAAAAAGACCAGAAAAAAAAAAAAAGAAGGAAGAAUGUAUCAAUGCUGACUCUGAAUGAAUUUAUUUCACCACUACUCAAGAGUUUCUGCUUUGUUUUUUACUAAGACAACAUUCUAGUUAUGGUGAAAUACCAUUGACUUCACCUUGGGAAUGGAAUUAAAAUACCUGAUUCAAAUUAAAUGUAAUGGGAAGAAGCAGGCUAGCUCAUAGCCUUGUGAAGCAAUGGAAGGCAAUAUACCAACCAAGGCAGCUAAGGGUCCCGGAUCCAAUCCCAGGUCUCUCCCUCGUCUGCUCCAAUGCCUUAGGAAAUCUACUGAACUUUUGUGCACGACAAUUGUCAUGACCAUGAAAUAGGGCUGAUGGCGCUACCAUAUGAGCAAUCUGUGAGAAACUUUCAAGUCAGUUACAGGGACCAUAGGUAAAAGCCAGAGUGCUCCCAGGAAAUGCCCCUCCCAAGAAAUGUCCCACUACAAGACACCUGGCAAGUGACAGGGAAAUGUGACUUGAAGCCUUGCUUAUAAGUUGCUUGACAUUUGAAAGGGAAGGGUUUCUGGGAGAUCCAGGACUCUUCAUUCCUGGAAAGAACAAGCCUGGCCGUGACCUGCUCUACCUGCAGGAAACAUGUGGAUAAUUCUCUUUUCAAUUUCAUACCCACAUAAUAUUUGUGGAAAAGCAUACUUAAAAUUUCCUCCUAGGAAAAAACCCAUAGCCUAUUAUUUUUAAUUUUUUAUUAUAGUUGAUUUACAAUUUUGUGCCAAUUUCUGCCAUACAGUAAAGUGACCCUGUUAUGCAUGUAUACACAUUACUUUUCUUACCUUCUCUUCCAUCAUAGUCUAUAUAUAGCUUGGAUAUAGUUCUCUGUGCUAUACAAUAGGACCUCCUUGCUUAUCCAUUCUAAAUGUAAUAGUUUGCAUUUACUAACCCCAAACUCCCAGUCCAUCCCACCUGUGACCUAUUAUUUAAUAAUUGUUAACUAAAAUGAUGUGACAUUUCUAUUAGAACAAGGUUUUAGGCUCUUUGUAUACAAAAGAGCCAAUAUAUGAGCUCACAUGCCAUAAUACACAGCUGUUUGAAUUGUUGAUUUUCAACCAUGAAACAUAAAAUUUCCUACUUAUCUAUUUUACUCUCAUGCCUCUUCUAAUCCACAGACUUGGGGACUCCCUCUGGUGGUUAAAUAAAAUAUAAUUCUUAUGUUAAUAAUGUUAAACAAACAAACAAAAAGAAAAAAGGUCAUAUCUACAUAAAAUAACUUCUUGUAUAUAUGAAAGUUCUUUGAUUUUUAAGCUAUGACACCCACCAGGGUAUGGGGAUGAGGAGGAGGAGGAGGAAGGGGAGGAGGAUGGUGAUGGUGAUGAAGGAUUCUAUUCAACUCUGACAUGGGUUGAUUGUCAAAAUCACAGAUAAAAACAAUCUGGCAAAAAACAAGCAGAAAAGGCAAAGCCAAUUACAAACUUUUAAAAAUGCAUAAAGUUCACCAAUGAACAAAAUCCUAGAAAGAAAUAUGGACACCGAGAAAACAUUCUGGGGUUCUGGGUUUCAAAACAGCACUAAAAUUUCCAAAGGGCUUAAAUAUCAACAAAUGCAGCAGAACAACAAGGAAGAUACUGGUAACAUUUUCACUGUUACAGCCAAAACACUGUCUCUACAACUUCAUUAUUUUGCCCAAUUUUUUUCUGUCUAUUCAUCCAAAGCAAAACAGAAUUGCUUUGCUAACAAAGACAUCAUUUGAAAGUCUGAUAGAUGGAUUUAUUUCUCCCUCAUUCUUACCUAGUUCUGAUAAAAGAAGAUGAUUUGUUUUUCAGUUUUUUCUUAGCUCCUCUCUCCUUUUCACUGAUAUGGAGGGAGUAUUAUUCCGGUUAUCAGUGUCUUUUAGAGAGGGGAGUGCACACCCUAACCGCUUGCUGGGUCAUGGGGUGGUGGAGCUAAAAAUUCUCUCCUGCUGAAAUUAUAGGGAGCAUCAGAUUCCUGCCACUGUCAGGGUUCUUUAUCAAAAUACGUUUUCUUGGUUUUUGAUGUAAAUACCACUGAACAUGGUGGCCUGAGGAUGUUCUAGAAGUAGAGGUAGAAGUGAAAUGGUGGUUGCGAUUUCUAGAAAAUCUUCCAAGAAUAUAAAGAACACUUCCUCCUCCCUCUCAUUCCAGUCUUCACCAAAUUCUCCAUGUCUAUUUUUUCAAAUAAUGUCCUAAGGGACACCAUAAAGAGGACAGGUUACAUUAACCUCCUCCUCAUUAACCUCCUCCUCCUUUGUACCUGAUUGAAAUGAAUUUUAAUUAUUGUACUUUACGAACUAAAAAAAAAAUGUUAAAGAGAAAUGGUCUCAAAUAUAGAAAAACAAAAUUAUUUUUUCAGAUUUAUAAGAUUAGCCUUAGGAGUUCCCAUUGUGGCUCAGCAAAUCAUGAACCUGACUAGGAUCCAUGAGGAUGCAGGUUCAAUCCCUGGCCUCGUUCAUUGGGUCAGGGAUCCAGCAUUACCGUGAGCUGUGAUGUAGGUCACAGAUGUGGCUCAGAUCUGGUGUUGCUGUGGCUGUGGUGUAGGUCAGCAGCUGUAGCUCGGAUUGGACCCCUAGCCUGGAAACCUCCAAAUGCCAUGGUUGCAGCCCUUAAAAAAAAAAAAAAAA
This 5777-nucleotide long non-coding RNA is filed under the name Sus scrofa (pig). Its description in RNAcentral is "lncRNA (ENSSSCG00065038790.1)". Lineage: Eukaryota; Metazoa; Chordata; Mammalia; Artiodactyla; Suidae. The record is from RNAcentral.